RNAcentral lists this ribosomal RNA (747 nucleotides) under uncultured archaeon. Its description in RNAcentral is "bacterial SSU rRNA". It matches the Rfam family "Archaeal small subunit ribosomal RNA", at positions 102 to 848 of the family's 1478-position model. The record is from RNAcentral.
GGAUAACUUACCCUUAGGACUGGGAUAACUCUGGGAAACUGGGGAUAAUACUGGAUAUUAGGCUAUGCCUGGAAUGGUUUGCCUUUGAAAUGUUUUUUCGCCUAAGGAUAGGUCUGCGGCUGAUUAGGUCGUUGGUGGGGUAAUGGCCCACCAAGCCGAUGAUCGGUACGGGUUGUGAGAGCAAGGGCCCGGAGAUGGAACCUGAGACAAGGUUCCAGACCCUACGGGGUGCAGCAGGCGCGAAACCUCCGCAAUGUACGAAAGUGCGACGGGGGGAUCCCAAGUGUUAUGCUUUUUUGUAUGACUUUUCAUUAGUGUAAAAAGCUUUUAGAAUAAGAGCUGGGCAAGACCGGUGCCAGCCGCCGCGGUAACACCGGCAGCUCGAGUGGUAGCUGUUUUUAUUGGGCCUAAAGCGUUCGUAGCCGGUUUGAUAAGUCUUUGGUGAAAGCUUGUAGCUUAACUAUAAGAAUUGCUGGAGAUACUAUUAGACUUGAAGUCGGGAGAGGUUAGAGGUACUACCGGGGUAGGGGUGAAAUCCUAUAAUCCUGGGAGGACCACCUGUGGCGAAGGCGUCUAACUGGAACGAUCUUGACGGUGAGUAACGAAAGCCAGGGGCGCGAACCGGAUUAGAUACCCGGGUAGUCCUGGCCGUAAACGAUGUGGACUUGGUGUUGGAAUGGCUUUGAGUUGUUCCGGUGCCGAAAGGGAAGCUGUUAAGUCCACCGCCUGGGAAGUACGGUCGCAAGA